GUCGAGCGGAUGAAGGGAGCUUGCUCCUGGAUUCAGCGGCGGACGGGUGAGUACUUUUUAGGAAUCUGCCUGGUAGUGGGGGAUAACGUCCGGAAACGGGCGCUAAUACCGCAUACGUCCUGAGGGAGAAAGUGGGGGAUCUUCGGACCUCACGCUAUCAGAUGAGCCUAGGUCGGAUUAGCUAGUUGGUGGGGUAAAGGCCUACCAAGGCGACGAUCCGUAACUGGUCUGAGAGGAUGAUCAGUCACACUGGAACUGAGACACGGUCCAGACUCCUACGGGAGGCAGCAGUGGGGAAUAUUGGACAAUGGGCGAAAGCCUGAUCCAGCCAUGCCGCGUGUGUGAAGAAGGUCUUCGGAUUGUAAAGCACUUUAAGUUGGGAGGAAGGGCAGUAAGUUAAUACCUUGCUGUUUUGACGUUACCAACAGAAUAAGCACCGGCUAACUUCGUGCCAGCAGCCGCGGUAAUACGAAGGGUGCAAGCGUUAAUCGGAAUUACUGGGCGUAAAGCGCGCGUAGGUGGUUCAGCAAGUUGGAUGUGAAAUCCCCGGGCUCAACCUGGGAACUGCAUCCAAAACUACUGAGCUAGAGUACGGUAGAGGGUGGUGGAAUUUCCUGUGUAGCGGUGAAAUGCGUAGAUAUAGGAAGGAACACCAGUGGCGAAGGCGACCACCUGGACUGAUACUGACACUGAAGUGCGAAAGCGUGGGGAGCAAACAGGAUUAGAUACCCUGGUAGUCCACGCCGUAAACGAUGUCGACUAGCCGUUGGGAUCCUUGAGAUCUUAGUGGCGCAACUAACGCGAUAAGUCGACCGCCUGGGGAGUACGGCCGCAA
RNAcentral lists this ribosomal RNA (835 nucleotides) under Pseudomonas aeruginosa. Its description in RNAcentral is "bacterial SSU rRNA". It matches the Rfam family "Bacterial small subunit ribosomal RNA", at positions 61 to 891 of the family's 1533-position model. Lineage: Bacteria; Pseudomonadati; Pseudomonadota; Gammaproteobacteria; Pseudomonadales; Pseudomonadaceae. The record is from RNAcentral.